AGUGAACGCUGGCGGUAGGCCUAACACAUGCAAGUCGAACGGCAGCACAGUAAGAGCUUGCUCUUGCGGGUGGCGAGUGGCGGACGGGUGAGGAAUACAUCGGAAUCUACUUUUUCGUGGGGGAUAACGUAGGGAAACUUACGCUAAUACCGCAUACGACCUACGGGUGAAAGCAGGGGAUCUUCGGACCUUGCGCGAUUGAAUGAGCCGAUGUCGGAUUAGCUAGUUGGCGGGGUAAAGGCCCACCAAGGCGACGAUCCGUAGCUGGUCUGAGAGGAUGAUCAGCCACACGGGAACGGGGACACGGUCCAGACUCCUACGGGAGGCAGCAGUGGGGAAUAUUGGACAACGGUCGCAAGCCUGAUCCAGCCAGACCGCGUGUGUGAAGAAGGCCUUCGGGUUGUAAAGCCCUUUUGUUGGUAAAGAAAAGCAGCAGGUUAAUACCCCGCUGUUCUGACGGUACCCAAAGAAUAAGCACCGGCUAACUUCGUG
RNAcentral lists this ribosomal RNA (492 nucleotides) under uncultured bacterium. Its description in RNAcentral is "partial 16S ribosomal RNA". It matches the Rfam family "Bacterial small subunit ribosomal RNA", at positions 29 to 507 of the family's 1533-position model. The record is from RNAcentral.